This 927-nucleotide long non-coding RNA is filed under the name Salmo salar (Atlantic salmon). RNAcentral's name for it is "lncRNA (ENSSSAG00000115556.1, ENSSSAG00000119237.1)". The record is from RNAcentral. Lineage: Eukaryota; Metazoa; Chordata; Actinopteri; Salmoniformes; Salmonidae.
GGCUUUAAUAGCCAGAGAGAUAAGUAUGGUUUGUGGCUAAGCAUGGUGGGGAGAGACUGUGAAACAAACACAGGCAAGCUGCUGUACACCUCUUCAGAAAUCUCCCAGACUGUUAUCUUGUCUCCACCACGUGGGAUUGCUGAGUUAACAUGAGGGGGGAAACGGAGGUACAUCUUCUUAUCGGCACAUGCACUAGGGCUGCGAUGAAAGGAGUCAAAUCCCUCCACUCAACACUGCAGAGAUACUGUAGAGGGGAAAGAUAAACUCCAGGUGGUGUGAUGAAGAUUGGGCUUCUCUGGCAUGCCGUUGUCACGAUGAUAUGAACACUACCCUGAACGGAUGACCUGACAUUCUCCUGUAGAAUUCUCUGAUACAGAGCAGAAUUCAUGGUUCCUUCUAUUAAGGCUUUACAGACGCUCCCCACCCCUUGGCUGCAACCCUCCUAAUUUAGUGUACUCUGCGCACACACCCCAUAUGGAAUUCCUGGUCCUUCUCCCUCCUGUCUCCUGAUUCUGUCUCCUCGACCCUACACUCCUCCAUUUGCGCAUCCGAUGACUCACACUGUCCCCUUUCCUCCCGCCUGGCUCGGCCCUCCUGCUCAUGGUUGAGUGACUUGCGAGCUUACAGAACAGGGAUGUGCGCAGCUAAGUAAAAAUGGAGGAAAACAAAACUUCCGGAGGACCUAUCGUGCUUUCACCCUCCUCUACCUUCCUCUGUAUCCACUGCUAAAGUCACUUUCUAUGGCUCUUAAUUUCAAGCUUCUGCCUCUAACCCUAGGAAACUCUUUUCCACCUUCUCCUCCCUCCUUAAUCCUCUACCACCUGCCUCUCUGCGGACAACUUUGUCAACCACUUUGAAAAGAAGUUUGACAACAUCCGCUCCUCAUUCAUUCAGCCUAUUGAGUCCACUGGUCCCACACAGAACUAC